CUUGGUUGAUCCUACCAGUAGACAUAUGCUUGUCUCAAAUAUUAAGCCAUGCAUGUGUAAGUAUGAACUAAUUCAGGCUGUGAAACUGCGAAUGGCUCAUUAAAUCAGUUAUAAUUUGUUUGAUGGUAUUUUCUACUCAAAUAACUAUAGUAAUUCUAGAGCUAAUACAUGCAACAAGCCCUGAUUUCUGAAAGGGAUACAUUUAUUAGAUAAAUGGUCGAGCGGGUUUUGCCUUUUGCUAUGAUGAUUCAUGAUAACUCGACGGAUCGCAUGACCUUUCUGCCGGUGACGCAUCAUUCAAAUUUCUACCCUAUCAACUUUUGAUGGUAUGAUAGUUCCAUACUAUGGUGGUGAUGGGUGACAGAGAAUUAGGGUUCGAUUCCGGAGAGGAAGCCUGAGAAAUAACUACCAUAUCCAAGGAAGGUAGCAGGAGCGUAAAUUACCCAAUCCUGACACGGGGAGGUAGUGACAAUAAAUAAUAAUACUAGGCUCUACUAGGAUCAAUUUGAGGGAAAGUUUGGUGCCAACAAUUGUAAUAAUUCCAUCUCUAAAAGUAUAUAUUUAAGUUAUUGCAGUUAAAAAGCUUGUAGUUGUGACCUAGGGGUGGCUCGAUCGGUCCGCCUCACGGUGAGCAGCGGUCUGCUCAUCCCUACUGUCGGCGAUGCACUCUUGGCCUUAAUUGGUCGGGUCGUUCCUUUGACGCAGUUACUUUGAAGAAAUUAGAGUGCUCAAAGUAGGCCUACACUUGUAUACAUUAACAUGGGAUAAUAUCAUAUGAUUUCGAUCCUAUUGUGUUGGCCUUCGGGAUCAGAGUAAUGAUUUACGGGGAUAGUCAGGGGCUUUAUUAUUUCAUAGUCAGAGGUGAAAUUCUUUGAUUUAUGAAAGAAGGACAACUGCGAAAGCAUUUUCCAAUGAUGUUUUCAUUAAUCAAGAACAAAAGUUGGGGGCUAGAAGACGAUCAAAUAUCGUCCUAGUCUUAACCAUAAAAGAUGUCGAUAUGGAUCACUGGAUGUUUAUUUUAGAACUCCGUCGAUACCUUAUGAGAAAUCAAAGUCUUUGGGUUAUAGAGGGAGUAUGGUCGCAAGGAUGAAACUUAAAGGAAUUGACGAAAGGGAACCACCAAGAGUUGAGCCUGCGGCUUUAUUUAACUUAACACGGGGAAGCUUAUCAGGUCCAGAUAAAGUAAGGAUUGACAGACUAAGAGCUCUUUAUUGAUUCUAUGGGUGGUAGUGCAUAGUCGUUCUUAGUUUAUGGAGUAAUUUGUUUGGUUACUUCCAUUAAUGAACUAGACCACAUCCUACUAACUACCUACACGGAGGUGAUCCUUCAUGGCUAGCUUUUUAGAGGGACUAUGGCCGCUUAGGCCAAGGAAGUUUGAGGCAGUAACAGGUCUGUGAUGCCCUUAGAUGUUCUGGGCCGCACGCACCCUAUACUAAUAUAUUCAACAAGUCUAUAGCCUUGGUCGACAGGCCCACGUAAUCUUUGAAAUUUCAUCAUGUUGGGGAUAGAUCAUUGCAAUUGUUGGUCUUCAACGAGGAAUUUAUAGUAAUCACGAGUUAUCAACUUGCGUUGACUACGUCCCAGCCCUUUUUACGCAUCGCCCUUCGCUCCUACCGAUUGAAUGAUCCUAGGAAGUGUGUGCAUUGCGGCGACGUGGGUGGUUCGCUACCCACGACAUUGCGAGAAGUCCAUUGAACCUUAAUAUUUAUAGGAGGAAGAAGUCGUAACAAGGUUUCCAUAGAUGAACCUGCAGAAG
RNAcentral lists this ribosomal RNA (1756 nucleotides) under Hibiscus syriacus. Its description in RNAcentral is "SSU rRNA". It matches the Rfam family "Eukaryotic small subunit ribosomal RNA". The record is from RNAcentral. Lineage: Eukaryota; Viridiplantae; Streptophyta; Magnoliopsida; Malvales; Malvaceae.